RNAcentral lists this ribosomal RNA (402 nucleotides) under uncultured bacterium. RNAcentral describes it as "bacterial SSU rRNA". It matches the Rfam family "Bacterial small subunit ribosomal RNA", at positions 362 to 757 of the family's 1533-position model. The record is from RNAcentral.
UUUUGGACAAUGGGCGCAAGCCUGAUCCAGCCAUUCCGCGUGAGUGAAGAAGGCCUUCGGGUUGUAAGGCUCUUUCGCAAGGGAAGAAAACUUACUUUCUAAUAAAGAGUGAGGUUGACGGUACCUUGAUAAGAAGCACCGGCUAACUACGUGCCAGCAGCCGCGGUAAUACGUAGGGUGCGAGCGUUAAUCGGAAUUACUGGGCGUAAAGCGUGCGCAGGCGGCUUUGUAAGUCAGAUGUGAAAUCCCCGAGCUCAACUUGGGAACUGCGUUUGAAACUACAAGGCUAGAAUAUGUCAGAGGGGGGUAGAAUUCCACGUGUAGCAGUGAAAUGCGUAGAGAUGUGGAGGAAUACCGAGGCGAAGGCAGCCCCCUGGGGUAAUAUUGACGCUCAUGCACGAA